UACGUAGGGGCCAAGCGUUGUCCGGAUUUAUUGGGCGUAAAGAGCUCGUAGGCGGUUGGGUAAGUCGGGUGUGAAAACUCUGGGCUCAACCCAGAGACGCCACCCGAUACUGCUGUGACUUGAGUACGGUAGGGGAGUGGGGAAUUCCUGGUGUAGCGGUGAAAUGCGCAGAUAUCAGGAGGAACACCAGUGGCGAAGGCGCCACUCUGGGCCGUAACUGACGCUGAGGAGCGAAAGCGUGGGUAGCAAACAGG
Molecule: ribosomal RNA, 254 nt
Filed under: uncultured bacterium
Lineage: Bacteria
Description: partial 16S ribosomal RNA
Rfam family: Bacterial small subunit ribosomal RNA
Source: RNAcentral